GACGAACGCUGGCGGCGUGCCUAAUACAUGCAAGUCGAGCGGAACUGGGGGAGCUUGCUCCUUCCAGUUUAGCGGCGGACGGGUGAGUAACACGUGGGCAACCUGCCCUGCAGAUCGGGAUAACUCCGGGAAACCGGUGCUAAUACCGAAUAGUUUGGCGCCUCUCCUGAGGCGCUACGGAAAGACGGUUUCGGCUGUCACUGCAGGAUGGGCCCGCGGCGCAUUAGCUAGUUGGUGGGGUAACGGCCCACCAAGGCGACGAUGCGUAGCCGACCUGAGAGGGUGACCGGCCACACUGGGACUGAGACACGGCCCAGACUCCUGCGGGAGGCAGCAGUAGGGAAUCUUCCGCAAUGGACGCAAGUCUGACGGAGCGACGCCGCGUGAGUGACGAAGGUUUUCGGAUCGUAAAACUCUGUUGUGAGGGAAGAACACGUACCAACUAACUAUUGGUACCUUGACGGUACCUCGCCAGAAAGCCACGGCUAACUACGUGCCAGCAGCCGCCGUAA
Molecule: ribosomal RNA, 512 nt
Filed under: uncultured bacterium
Lineage: Bacteria
Description: partial 16S ribosomal RNA
Rfam family: Bacterial small subunit ribosomal RNA
Source: RNAcentral